This 82-nucleotide transfer RNA is filed under the name Pseudocercospora pini-densiflorae CBS 125139. Its description in RNAcentral is "tRNA-Ser (AGA) (tRNA-Ser-AGA-1-1)". It matches the Rfam family "tRNA". Rfam says of the family: Transfer RNA (tRNA) molecules are approximately 80 nucleotides in length. Their secondary structure includes four short double-helical elements and three loops (D, anti-codon, and T loops). Further hydrogen bonds mediate the characteristic L-shaped molecular structure. tRNAs have two regions of fundamental functional importance: the anti-codon, which is responsible for specific mRNA codon recognition, and the 3' end, to which the tRNAs corresponding amino acid is attached (by aminoacyl-tRNA synthetases). tRNAs cope with the degeneracy of the genetic code in two manners: having more than one tRNA (with a specific anti-codon) for a particular amino acid; and 'wobble' base-pairing, i.e. permitting non-standard base-pairing at the 3rd anti-codon position. Lineage: Eukaryota; Fungi; Ascomycota; Dothideomycetes; Mycosphaerellales; Mycosphaerellaceae. The record is from RNAcentral.
GGCGAGAUGGCAGAGCGGUCUAAUGCGAUAGACUAGAAAUCUAUUCUCUUCGGAGGCGUCGGUUCAAAUCCGACUCUCGUCG